AUUGAACGCUGGCGGCAGGCCCAACACAUGCAAGUCGAGCGGAUGAAGGGAGCUUGCUCCUGGAUUCAGCGGCGGACGGGUGAGUAAUGCCUAGGAAUCUGCCUGGUAGUGGGGGAUAACGUCCGGAAACGGGCGCUAAUACCGCAUACGUCCUGAGGGAGAAAGUGGGGGAUCUUCGGACCUCACGCUAUCAGAUGAGCCUAGGUCGGAUUAGCUAGUUGGUGGGGUAAAGGCCUACCAAGGCGACGAUCCGUAACUGGUCUGAGAGGAUGAUCAGUCACACUGGAACUGAGACACGGUCCAGACUCCUACGGGAGGCAGCAGUGGGGAAUAUUGGACAAUGGGCGAAAGCCUGAUCCAGCCAUGCCGCGUGUGUGAAGAAGGUCUUCGGAUUGUAAAGCACUUUAAGUUGGGAGGAAGGGCAGUAAGUUAAUACCUUGCUGUUUUGACGUUACCAACAGAAUAAGCACCGGCUAACUUCGUGC
RNAcentral lists this ribosomal RNA (485 nucleotides) under uncultured bacterium. Its description in RNAcentral is "partial 16S ribosomal RNA". It matches the Rfam family "Bacterial small subunit ribosomal RNA", at positions 30 to 508 of the family's 1533-position model. The record is from RNAcentral.